AACCUGCCUUUCAGAGGGGGAUAACAUUUGGAAACAGAUGCUAAUACCGCAUAAGAUUACAGUACCGCAUGAUACAGUGAUCAAAGGAGCAAUCCGCUGAAAGAUGGGCUCGCGUCCGAUUAGAUAGUUGGUGAGGUAACGGCUCACCAAGUCGACGAUCGGUAGCCGGACUGAGAGGUUGAACGGCCACAUUGGGACUGAGACACGGCCCAGACUCCUACGGGAGGCAGCAGUGGGGAAUAUUGCACAAUGGGCGAAAGCCUGAUGCAGCAACGCCGCGUGAGGGAAGACGGUUUUCGGAUUGUAAACCUCUGUUUUCGGUGACGAACAAAUGACGGUAACCGAGUAGGAAGCCACGGCUAACUACGUGCCAGCAGCCGCGGUAAUACGUAGGUGGCAAGCGUUAUCCGGAAUUACUGGGUGUAAAGGGAGCGCAGGCGGGAUAGCAAGUCAGCUGUGAAAACUAUGGGCUCAACCCAUAAACUGCAGUUGAAACUGUUAUUCUUGAGUGGAGUAGAGGCAAGCGGAAUUCCGAGUGUAGCGGUGAAAUGCGUAGAUAUUCGGAGGAACACCAGUGGCGAAGGCGGCUUGCUGGGCUCUAACUGACGCUGAGGCUCGAAAGUGUGGGGAGCAAACAGGAUUAGAUACCCUGGUAGUCCACACUGUAAACGAUGAUGGCUAGGUGUGGGGGGUCUGACCCCCUCCGUGCCGGAUUUAACGC
RNAcentral lists this ribosomal RNA (721 nucleotides) under uncultured Oscillospiraceae bacterium. RNAcentral's name for it is "bacterial SSU rRNA". It matches the Rfam family "Bacterial small subunit ribosomal RNA", at positions 123 to 858 of the family's 1533-position model. Lineage: Bacteria; Bacillati; Bacillota; Clostridia; Eubacteriales; Oscillospiraceae. The record is from RNAcentral.